GACAACCCUUAACUGAAUGCAAGACGCAGGCUGUCUCCCAUCUAUGCAAUACCCUGGAAGUGCUCCCUCGGAGGGGAUCCCCAGGUCCUUGACUCGGUUCCCCCAACAGUUCCAAAAGGGGUCACGAGUUGUAGGGGCUGAGGGCUCUGCCGAGAAGCCCGGAAGGGGAAGAGAUUUUUGAAACCAAGAAUCCUGCUACACUGGCAAGAAACGCAAGUAGUCGAGACCCCCCACACCCUUUCCAGCUGCGCCUGCCUUGCCACCCGCUCUUUCUUCUUCAGCGCCUCAUUCCAGAGAACUGCUUUCGGAAAAAUCCCGCCACCAGGAGCUGGGACACGGAGAAGUGACAAUACACAGGACAAUGGCCUCUGACCAUGGAGGCUCCCACUCCGUGCCCGUCCCCUGUGAAACUCGCCUUACCUUCGUGGUUCCUUCCUGGACAGUCCUGGUAGAUUCUUUUGCAUGUGUUCCUAAGCCUAGAAGCAUUGCAAUAAAAUUUACAGCGCCUUUAACAACUCGCAAGUAAAGCA
Jaculus jaculus (lesser Egyptian jerboa) is the source of this 530-nucleotide long non-coding RNA. RefSeq lists it as uncharacterized. The transcript is spliced from 2 exons. Lineage: Eukaryota; Metazoa; Chordata; Mammalia; Rodentia; Dipodidae. The record is from RefSeq and is a predicted model, not a curated record.